CUUGCUGAUCAGAAGGUCGGUGGUUCGAAUCCCCAUGACGGGGUGAACUCGCGUUGCUCCGUCCCUGCUCCUGCCAACCUAGCAGUUUGAAAGCACAUCAAGGUGCAAGUAGAUAAAUAGGUACCACUCUGGCGGGAAGGUAAACAGCGUUUCCGUGCGCUGCUCUGGUUUGCCAGAAGCAGCUUAGUCAUGCUGGCCACAUGACCCGGAAGCUGUACGCUGGCU
RNAcentral lists this long non-coding RNA (225 nucleotides) under Podarcis lilfordi (Lilford's wall lizard). Lineage: Eukaryota; Metazoa; Chordata; Lepidosauria; Squamata; Lacertidae. The record is from RNAcentral.